Molecule: ribosomal RNA, 468 nt
Filed under: uncultured bacterium
Lineage: Bacteria
Description: partial 16S ribosomal RNA
Rfam family: Bacterial small subunit ribosomal RNA
Source: RNAcentral
GACGAACGCUGGCGGCGUGCUUAACACAUGCAAGUCGAACGGAAAGGCCCUGCUUUUGUGGGGUGCUCGAGUGGCGAACGGGUGAGUAACACGUGAGUAACCUGCCCUUGACUUUGGGAUAACUUCAGGAAACUGGGGCUAAUACCGUAUAGGAGCUCCUGCUGCAUGGUGGGGGUUGGAACGUUUCGGCGUUUGGGGAUGGACUCGCGGCUUAUCAGCUUGUUGGUGGGGUAGUGGCUUACCAAGGCUUUGACGGGUAGCCGGCCUGAGAGGGUGACCGGCCACAUUGGGACUGAGAGACGGCGCAGACUCCUACGGGAGGCAGCAGGGGGGAAUAUUGCACAAUGGGCGGAAGCCUGAUGCAGCAACGCCGCGUGCGGGAUGACGGCCUUCGGGUUGUAAACCGCUUUCGCCUGUGACGAAGCGGGAGUGACGGUAAUGGGUAAAGAAGCACCGGCUAACUACGUG